GUGCUCGAUUCCACAACACCUAUACUCAAAUUGGAAUGAUACAGAGAAAAUUAGCAUUGACCCUGCGCAAGGAUGACACGCAAAUUCGUGACCCAAAACAAAACAAA
This is a small nuclear RNA of Otolemur garnettii (small-eared galago), 107 nucleotides long. The record is from Ensembl. NCBI's taxonomy places the organism in Eukaryota, Metazoa, Chordata, Mammalia, Primates, Galagidae.